GUUUCAGGGUGUCUACCAUCCCGCAGAACUAUGGGGUUGCCCGCCCCCUCACUGCCCCUCAGUCAGUGUGUCUGGUGCUUAUCCAUGUGGGCUAUGCAGUUGGCCCCCUGAAUGUCCCAGCUCCCUUAGAAUUCUAAAGGGAAGGGACAGCAGGUCCCUGCCACCUCUCUGGUGCCUCUACUUGGGUUCUCACCACAGUCCCAGUUUGGAGGUUCCCACGCUGUGGCCUCCUCUCUGUCUGACCUCCCUAGCCCAGACCCCCCAGCUUCCUCCUCAGCUCCCACUCAGCUUUCUUGUAGUCUCUGGAGCCCCUGUCUGCCUUGCCUCUGCAGAGCUCUGGCCAAAUUGGAACCACUGGGAAAGAAUGAGGUCAUGGGAGGGGCGGCUGGUCGUGCGUGCAGGCCAGAGGGUCUGUUUUUAGAACCUGUACCUCUUGGCUGAAGCUAGAGAAAAAAAAAAAAA
Molecule: long non-coding RNA, 462 nt
Filed under: Rattus norvegicus (Norway rat)
Lineage: Eukaryota; Metazoa; Chordata; Mammalia; Rodentia; Muridae
Description: long non-coding RNA NONRATT023926
Source: RNAcentral